Molecule: ribosomal RNA, 497 nt
Filed under: uncultured bacterium
Lineage: Bacteria
Description: partial 16S ribosomal RNA
Rfam family: Bacterial small subunit ribosomal RNA
Source: RNAcentral
GACGAACGCUGGCGGCGUGCCUAAUACAUGCAAGUAGAACGCUGAAGAGAGGAGCUUGCUCUUCUUGGAUGAGUUGCGAACGGGUGAGUAACGCGUAGGUAACCUGCCUGGUAGCGGGGGAUAACUAUUGGAAACGAUAGCUAAUACCGCAUAAAAUUGAUUAUUGCAUGAUACUUAAUUGAAAGAUGCAGCUGCAUCACUACCAGAUGGACCUGCGUUGUAUUAGCUAGUUGGUGAGGUAACGGCUCACCAAGGCGAAGAUACAUAGCCGACCUGAGAGGGUGGUCGGCCACCCUGGGAAUGGGACCAGGCCCCGGCUCCCUCGGGGAGCAGCCGGAGGGAAACUUUGGCCAUGGGGGGAACCCUGACCGCGCAACGCCGGGUGGGUGAAGGAGGGUUUCGGAUCGUAAAGCUCUGUUGUAAGAGAAGAAAGGGUGUGGGAGUGGAAAGUUCACACUGUGACGGUAUCUUACCAGAAAGGGACGGCCAACUACGUG